UUUUGUUUUCUGGUUAGGAUCCAAGUAUCAUUGGAGUUGUGUGUGUACGACGCUCGUAGCAAACAUGAUGAUUUGAAUUCUGAAUUCCGAGAAGUAUCUAAUCGAUCUAGCAAUGAAGUAGUAGGUUUAUAUUUUUUUGGAAACUUUCUCAUCGCCUAUCUACCAAGCCAAAAACGAGACCAAACAAAACGAGGCACAACAAUGAAGAAAAGCGCGAAAAGUACGAAGCAUAAUGAACUAAAACCAGAGAGGAAAACCGCGCACAACGUCUCAAGCAAGAUACAGAGCCGCGCACACACUCGGUACAACCUCAACGGGGAAAAGAUGCUCUCAGUGUUUGAGGUCUUGGGGUCUCGAGAACUCUCUGGCAUUGUCAAGUAUCUCGCACUUGCACUUUAAUCAUCG
Long non-coding RNA from Drosophila santomea, 405 nucleotides. RefSeq lists it as uncharacterized. The record is from RefSeq and is a predicted model, not a curated record. NCBI's taxonomy places the organism in Eukaryota, Metazoa, Arthropoda, Insecta, Diptera, Drosophilidae. The transcript is spliced from 2 exons.